ACACUCCUGCGGGAGGCAGCAGUGGGGAAUAUUGGACAAUGGGCGCAAGCCUGAUCCCGCCAUGCCGCGUGAGUGAUGAAGGCCCUAGGGUUGUAAAGCUCUUUCACCGGUGAAGAUAAUGACGGUAACCGGAGAAGAAGCCCCGGCUAACUUCGUGCCAGCAGCCGCGGUAAUACGAAGGGGGCUAGCGUUGUUCGGAUUUACUGGGCGUAAAGCGCACGUAGGCGGACUAUUAAGUCAGGGGUGAAAUCCCGGGGCUCAACCCCGGAACUGCCUUUGAUACUGGUAGUCUUGAGUUCGAGAGAGGUGAGUGGAAUUCCGAGUGUAGAGGUGAAAUUCGUAGAUAUUCGGAGGAACACCAGUGGCGAAGGCGGCUCACUGGCUCGAUACUGACGCUGAGGUGCGAAAGCGUGGGGAGCAAACAGGAUUAGAAACCCGAGUAGUCCCA
RNAcentral lists this ribosomal RNA (448 nucleotides) under uncultured organism. Its description in RNAcentral is "partial 16S ribosomal RNA". It matches the Rfam family "Bacterial small subunit ribosomal RNA", at positions 333 to 797 of the family's 1533-position model. The record is from RNAcentral.